This 340-nucleotide long non-coding RNA is filed under the name Panax ginseng (ginseng). Its description in RNAcentral is "long non-coding RNA (PGIN_LNC011618)". The record is from RNAcentral. Lineage: Eukaryota; Viridiplantae; Streptophyta; Magnoliopsida; Apiales; Araliaceae.
ACAAAGGCCUAUAAUUAGCACUGCAUCGUUGACCUGGCGCUACAUCGCUGGAAAUGUACUACGGGGAGGUGCCGCAGUGCCGAAAUACAGUUCCAGGCAGACAGUGUUCGCGAAGAACACAGAACGAAGCCAAAUUAGCCUACAAACUACUUUCUAACAACCAAUUUAACAUAUUUGAAUUACAUAAACCUCACAGAAACAUAACUUAAGGUUUCUAAAAUGUUUUUAAUCAUUUAAACAACAUAACCAUCAACAUUAAAACCCCUAAAUUCAUCGUUUUUACCACUUCUUUAAUUUUUGACAUUCUUAGUGAAAUUAAUCACUGUAAAUUCGUUUUUCA